UGGCUUAGGACGAACGCUGGCGGCGUGCUUAACACAUGCAAGUCGAACGGAAAGGCCCUGCUUUGUGGGGUGCUCGAGUGGCGAACGGGUGAGUAACACGUGAGUAACCUGCCCUUGGCUUUGGGAUAACUUCAGGAAACUGGGGCUAAUACCGGAUAGGAGCUCCUGCUGCAUGGUGGGGGUUGGAAAGUUUCGGCGGUUGGGGGAUGGACUCGCGGCUUAUCAGCUUGUUGGUGGGGUAGUGGCUUACCAAGGCUUUGACGGGUAGCCGGCCUGAGAGGGUGACCGGCCACAUUGGGACUGAGAUACGGCCCAGACUCCUACGGGAGGCAGCAGUGGGGAAUAUUGCACAAUGGGCGGAAGCCUGAUGCAAGCAACGCCGCGUGCGGGAUGACGGCCUUCGGGUUGUAAACCGCUUUCGCCUGUGACGAAGCGUGAGUGACGGUAAUGGGUAAAGAAGCACCGGCUAACUACGUGCCAGCAGCGGC
Molecule: ribosomal RNA, 488 nt
Filed under: uncultured bacterium
Lineage: Bacteria
Description: bacterial SSU rRNA
Rfam family: Bacterial small subunit ribosomal RNA
Source: RNAcentral